CAGUAGCCUCGGGAAUACGGAGGGUGCAAGCGUUAAUCGGAAUUACUGGGCGUAAAGCGUGCGUAGGCGGUUCGUUAAGUCUGUUGUGAAAGCCCCGGGCCCAACCUGGGAAUGGCAAUGGAUACUGGCGAGCUAGAGUGUGUCAGAGGAUGGUGGAAUUCCCGGUGUAGCGGUGAAAUGCGUAGAGAUCGGGAGGAACAUCAGUGGCGAAGGCGGCCAUCUGGGACAACACUGGCGCUGAGGCACGAAAGCGUGGGGAGCAAACAGGAUUAGAUACCCGCGUAGUCCCUGUCUCUUAUAC
Molecule: ribosomal RNA, 301 nt
Filed under: uncultured bacterium
Lineage: Bacteria
Description: partial 16S ribosomal RNA
Rfam family: Bacterial small subunit ribosomal RNA
Source: RNAcentral